This 270-nucleotide non-coding RNA is filed under the name Phascolarctobacterium sp. RNAcentral describes it as "T-box sequence". It matches the Rfam family "T-box leader". Rfam says of the family: Uncharged tRNA acts as the effector for transcription antitermination of genes in the T-box leader family. Lineage: Bacteria; Bacillati; Bacillota; Negativicutes; Acidaminococcales; Acidaminococcaceae. The record is from RNAcentral.
CAAAUUGCGUUGAUUGGGAAAAGUAGUAAAGAAGCCCAGAUUCCAGAGAACUUAUCAUUUAGCUGAGAGAUAAGAUCAAAGCACUUUAUGAAAAUCCCCCAUGAGCUGCCAGCUGAAGGGCAAACGCCUGUGUAAGUGUGGCCGGAGGACGACCGUUACAGCGUCAGGCAUUGAACGUCAGUUGUGAAACUUUCGGUGAUGCCGGUAAAGUGGCCGUAUUAUUACGGCAAUAAGAGUGGUACCGCAGAGCUAUUCGGCUUUGUCUCUUAC